RNAcentral lists this ribosomal RNA (482 nucleotides) under uncultured bacterium. Its description in RNAcentral is "bacterial SSU rRNA". It matches the Rfam family "Bacterial small subunit ribosomal RNA", at positions 29 to 521 of the family's 1533-position model. The record is from RNAcentral.
AGUGAACGCUGGCGGCGUGCUUAACACAUGCAAGUCGAACGAGAACGGGUUAUAGCUUGCUAUAAUUGUCAGCUAAGUGGCGCACGGGUGAGUAAUGUAUAGGUAAUAUGCCUCUUACUAAGGGAUAACAAAUGGAAACGUUUGCUAAUACCUUAUACUCCUUAUUAACUAAAGUUAGUAAGGGAAAGAUUUAUUGGUAAGAGAUUAGCCUGUAUUGUAUCAGUUAGUUGGUGGGGUAAUGGCCUACCAAGACUAUGACGCAUAACUGGUUUGAGAGGAUGAUCAGUCACACUGGAACUGAGACACGGUCCAGACUCCUACGGGAGGCAGCAGUGGGGAAUAUUGCACAAUGGACGAAAGUCUGAUGCAGCAACGCCGCGUGGAGGAUGACACAUUUCGGUGCGUAAACUCCUUUUAUAUAAGAAGAUAAUGACGGUAUUAUAUGAAUAAGCACCGGCUAACUCCGUGCCAGCAGCCGCGGU